CCUACGGGUGGCAGCAGUGAGGAAUAUUGGUCAAUGGGCGCGAGCCUGAACCAGCCAAGUAGCGUGAAGGAUGACUGCCCUACGGGUUGUAAACUUCUUUUAUAAAGGAAUAAAGUGAGGCACGUGUGCCUUUUUGUAUGUACUUUAUGAAUAAGGAUCGGCUAACUCCGUGCCAGCAGCCGCGGUAAUACGGAGGAUCCGAGCGUUAUCCGGAUUUAUUGGGGUUAAAGGGAGCGGAGAUGGGUUGUUAAGUCAGUUGUGAAAGUUUGCGGCUCAACCGUAAAAUUGGAAUUGAUACUGGAAGGUUUGAGGAAAGUUGAGGUUGGGCGGAUCCGUGG
Molecule: ribosomal RNA, 338 nt
Filed under: uncultured bacterium
Lineage: Bacteria
Description: partial 16S ribosomal RNA
Rfam family: Bacterial small subunit ribosomal RNA
Source: RNAcentral